RNAcentral lists this ribosomal RNA (508 nucleotides) under uncultured bacterium. Its description in RNAcentral is "partial 16S ribosomal RNA". It matches the Rfam family "Bacterial small subunit ribosomal RNA", at positions 28 to 507 of the family's 1533-position model. The record is from RNAcentral.
GACGAACGCUGGCGGCGUGCCUAAUACAUGCAAGUCGAACGCUUCUUUCCUCCCGAGUGCUUGCCCUCAAUUGGAAAGAGGAGUGGCGGACGGGUGAGUAACACGCGGGUAACCUACCCAUCAGAGGGGGAUAACACUUGGAAACAGGUGCUAAUACCGCAUAACAGUUUAUGCCGCAUGGCAUAAGAGUGAAAGGCGCUUUCGGGUGUCGUUGAUGGAUGGACCCGCGGUGCAUUAGCUAGUUGGUGAGGUAACGGCUCACCAAGGCCACGAUGCAUAGCCGACCUGAGAGGGUGAUCGGCCACACUGGGACUGAGACACGGCCCAGACUCCUACGGGAGGCAGCAGUAGGGAAUCUUCGGCAAUGGACGAAAGUCUGACCGAGCAACGCCGCGUGAGUGAAGAAGGUUUUCGGAUCGUAAAACUCUGUUGUUAGAGAAGAACAAGGACGUUAGUAACUGAACGUCCCCUGACGGUAUCUAACCAGAAAGCCACGGCUAACUACGUG